UGCUCCUUCAUACCACAGAGGAAGUGUCCAC
Molecule: non-coding RNA, 31 nt
Filed under: Rattus norvegicus (Norway rat)
Lineage: Eukaryota; Metazoa; Chordata; Mammalia; Rodentia; Muridae
Source: RNAcentral